UUAAAUGUAAAUUAUUAAGCUAAGUGAUUAAUAGUUAAGUUCUUUAAAGCUAAAUAAUUUGGCGGUAGUUUAAACUUUUCAGAGGAACCUGUCCUAUAAAUGAUAGUCCACGAUUAAAUUAACUUUAAUUAGAAAUUUUUAUAUCAUUGUUGUUAAGUAUUUUAUAAGAAUAGAAUAUUUAAAAUUUCUUUAUUAAGAAAUAAAUCAAAUCAAGGUGAAGUUUAUAUUAAAGAAGAGAUGGGUUACAUUAAAUUUUAUUUUUAGAUUAUUAUUUGUAAAAUUAUAUGAAAUUGGAUUUGAAAGUAAUUAAAUAAUAUAUUUUGA
RNAcentral lists this ribosomal RNA (324 nucleotides) under Adaliopsis alpina. Its description in RNAcentral is "partial 12S ribosomal RNA". The record is from RNAcentral. Lineage: Eukaryota; Metazoa; Arthropoda; Insecta; Coleoptera; Coccinellidae.